This 605-nucleotide ribosomal RNA is filed under the name uncultured bacterium. RNAcentral describes it as "bacterial SSU rRNA". It matches the Rfam family "Bacterial small subunit ribosomal RNA", at positions 338 to 959 of the family's 1533-position model. The record is from RNAcentral.
CCUACGGGAGGCAGCAGUGGGGAAUCUUGUGCAAUGGACGAAAGUCUGACACAGCCACGCCGCGUGCGGGAAGAAGGCCUUCGGGUUGUAAACCGCUUUCAGCAGGAACGAAAAUGACGGUACCUGCAGAAGAAGAUGCGGCCAACUACAUGCCAGCAGCCGCGGUGAUACGUAGGCAUCAAGCGUUGUCCGGAUUUAUUGGGCGUAAAGAGCUCGUAGGCGGUUCAGCAAGUCGGGUGUGAAAACUCUGGGCUUAACCCAGAGCCUGCACUCGAAACUGCUGUGACUAGAGUUCGGUAGGGGAGCAGGGAAUUCCUAGUGUAGCGGUGAAAUGCGCAGAUAUUAGGAGGAACACCAAUGGCGAAGGCACUGCUCUGGGCCGAUACUGACGCUGAGGAGCGAGAGCGUGGGUAGCAAACAGGAUUAGAUACCCUGGUAGUCCACGCCGUAAACGAUGGGCACUAGGUGUGGGUCUCUAACCAACGAGAUCUGCGCCGUCGCUAACGCAUUAAGUGCCCCGCCUGGGGAGGUACGGUCGCGAGACUAAACUACAAGAGAGUUAGACGCGUGAGACGUGACCGACGGACGACGACGAGGGGAGGAGG